GACGCAUGCAGGUGGUUUGUUAAGUCAGAUGUGAAAGGCCCGGGGCUCAACCUCGGAAUUGCUAUUUAGAAACUGGCAGACUAGAGUACUGUAGAGGGGGGUAGGAAUUUCAGGUGUAGCGGUGAAAUGCGUAGAGAUCUGAAGGAAUACCGGUGGCGAAGGCGGCCCCCUGGACAGAUACUGACACUCAGAUGCGAAAGCGUGGGGAGCAAACAGGAUUAGAUACCCUGGUAG
RNAcentral lists this ribosomal RNA (234 nucleotides) under uncultured bacterium. RNAcentral's name for it is "partial 16S ribosomal RNA". It matches the Rfam family "Bacterial small subunit ribosomal RNA", at positions 567 to 793 of the family's 1533-position model. The record is from RNAcentral.